RNAcentral lists this non-coding RNA (31 nucleotides) under Homo sapiens (human). The record is from RNAcentral. Lineage: Eukaryota; Metazoa; Chordata; Mammalia; Primates; Hominidae.
ACGCCCAACAGAACCGUUAGAACCAGCGAGC